This 878-nucleotide ribosomal RNA is filed under the name uncultured bacterium. RNAcentral's name for it is "bacterial SSU rRNA". It matches the Rfam family "Bacterial small subunit ribosomal RNA", at positions 8 to 912 of the family's 1533-position model. The record is from RNAcentral.
AGAGUUUGAUCAUGGCUCAGGAUGAACGCUGGCGGCGUGCCUAAUACAUGCAAGUCGAACGGUGACCGCAAGGUCAUAGUGGCGACCGGGUGCGUAACACGUAGCUGACCUGCCCCUCAGCGGGGGACAACAGUGCGAAAGCGCUGCUAAUACCGCAUACGCUCGGAGUGGUUAGACGGCUCUGAGGAAACUUACGGGGUUGAGGGAGGGAGCUGCGGCCCAUCAGGUAGUUGGCGAGGUAACGGCUCACCAAGCCAUCGACGGGUAGGGGACCUGAGAGGGUGGUCCCCCACACUGGGACUGACACACGGCCCAGACUCCUACGGGAGGCAGCAGUAAGGGAUAUUGCGCAAUGGGCGAAAGCCUGACGCAGCAACGCCGCGUGGAGGAUGACGGCCUUCGGGUUGUAAACUCCUUUUAGCUCGGACGAGGAAGGACGGUACGGGCUGAAGAAGUCACGGCUAACUACGUGCCAGCAACCGCGGUAAAACGUAGGUGGCAAGCGUUAUCCGGAUUUACUGGGCGUAAAGCGUGUGCAGGCGGUCGUGCAAGUGGUGUAUGAAAUCGCCCGGCUUAACCGGGCGGGGUUAGGCCAGACUGCAGGACUGGAGUGCGGGAGAGGGGCGUGGAAUUCCGGGUGUAGUGGUGAAAUGCGUAGAGAUCCGGAGGAACCCCAGCGGCGAAGGCGGCGCCCUGGCCCGACACUGACGCUCAGACACGACAGCAUGGGGAGCGAACGGGAUUAGAAACCCCGGUAGUCCAUGCCGUAAACAAUGCCAACUAGGCGUCGGGGGUCUCAACCCCCUCGGUGCCGGAGCUAACGCGGGAAGUUGGCCGCCUGGGGAGUACGACCGCAAGGUUAAAACUCAAAGGAAUUG